This 119-nucleotide ribosomal RNA is filed under the name Lottia gigantea (owl limpet). Lineage: Eukaryota; Metazoa; Mollusca; Gastropoda; Lottiidae. The record is from RNAcentral.
GUUUACGGCCAUACGACGUUGAAAGCACCAGUUCUCGUCCGAUCACUGAAGUUAAGCAAUGUUGGGCUCGGUUAGUACUUGGAUGGGUGAUCACCUAGGAACAACGAGUGCUGUAGACG